This 1530-nucleotide ribosomal RNA is filed under the name Salmonella enterica subsp. enterica serovar Typhimurium. RNAcentral's name for it is "bacterial LSU rRNA". It matches the Rfam family "Bacterial large subunit ribosomal RNA", at positions 1308 to 2821 of the family's 2925-position model. The record is from RNAcentral. Lineage: Bacteria; Pseudomonadati; Pseudomonadota; Gammaproteobacteria; Enterobacterales; Enterobacteriaceae.
AACGAUAAAGCGGGUGAAAAGCCCGCUCGCCGGAAGACCAAGGGUUCCUGUCCAACGUUAAUCGGGGCAGGGUGAGUCGACCCCUAAGGCGAGGCCGAAAGGCGUAGUCGAUGGGAAACGGGUUAAUAUUCCCGUACUUGGUGUUACUGCGAAGGGGGGACGGAGAAGGCUAUGUUGGCCGGGCGACGGUUGUCCCGGUUUAAGCGUGUAGGUGUGUGUUCCAGGUAAAUCCGGUUCACUUUAACACUGAGGCGUGACGACGAGGCACUACGGUGCUGAAGCAACAAAUGCCCUGCUUCCAGGAAAAGCCUCUAAGCAUCAGGUAACAUCAAAUCGUACCCCAAACCGACACAGGUGGUCAGGUAGAGAAUACCAAGGCGCUUGAGAGAACUCGGGUGAAGGAACUAGGCAAAAUGGUGCCGUAACUUCGGGAGAAGGCACGCUGACACGUAGGUGAAGUGAUUUACUCAUGGAGCUGAAGUCAGUCGAAGAUACCAGCUGGCUGCAACUGUUUAUUAAAAACACAGCACUGUGCAAACACGAAAGUGGACGUAUACGGUGUGACGCCUGCCCGGUGCCGGAAGGUUAAUUGAUGGGGUCAGCGCAAGCGAAGCUCCUGAUCGAAGCCCCGGUAAACGGCGGCCGUAACUAUAACGGUCCUAAGGUAGCGAAAUUCCUUGUCGGGUAAGUUCCGACCUGCACGAAUGGCGUAAUGAUGGCCAGGCUGUCUCCACCCGAGACUCAGUGAAAUUGAACUCGCUGUGAAGAUGCAGUGUACCCGCGGCAAGACGGAAAGACCCCGUGAACCUUUACUAUAGCUUGACACUGAACAUUGAGCCUUGAUGUGUAGGAUAGGUGGGAGGCUUUGAAGUGUGGACGCCAGUCUGCAUGGAGCCGACCUUGAAAUACCACCCUUUAAUGUUUGAUGUUCUAACGUGGACCCGUAAUCCGGGUUGCGGACAGUGUCUGGUGGGUAGUUUGACUGGGGCGGUCUCCUCCUAAAGAGUAACGGAGGAGCACGAAGGUUGGCUAAUCCUGGUCGGACAUCAGGAGGUUAGUGCAAUGGCAUAAGCCAGCUUGACUGCGAGCGUGACGGCGCGAGCAGGUGCGAAAGCAGGUCAUAGUGAUCCGGUGGUUCUGAAUGGAAGGGCCAUCGCUCAACGGAUAAAAGGUACUCCGGGGAUAACAGGCUGAUACCGCCCAAGAGUUCAUAUCGACGGCGGUGUUUGGCACCUCGAUGUCGGCUCAUCACAUCCUGGGGCUGAAGUAGGUCCCAAGGGUAUGGCUGUUCGCCAUUUAAAGUGGUACGCGAGCUGGGUUUAGAACGUCGUGAGACAGUUCGGUCCCUAUCUGCCGUGGGCGCUGGAGAACUGAGGGGGGCUGCUCCUAGUACGAGAGGACCGGAGUGGACGCAUCACUGGUGUUCGGGUUGUCAUGCCAAUGGCACUGCCCGGUAGCUAAAUGCGGAAGAGAUAAGUGCUGAAAGCAUCUAAGCACGAAACUUGCCCCGAGAUGAGUUCUCCCUGAGAC